This 72-nucleotide transfer RNA is filed under the name Ictidomys tridecemlineatus (thirteen-lined ground squirrel). RNAcentral describes it as "Spermophilus tridecemlineatus (thirteen-lined ground squirrel) tRNA". It matches the Rfam family "tRNA". From Rfam's summary of the family: Transfer RNA (tRNA) molecules are approximately 80 nucleotides in length. The record is from Rfam by way of RNAcentral. Lineage: Eukaryota; Metazoa; Chordata; Mammalia; Rodentia; Sciuridae.
UGUAGCUAGCUCAGUUGGUAGAGUGUUUGCCUCACAUGCACAAAGCCCUGGGUUUAAUCCCCAGAACCACAA